UACGGAGGGUGCGAGCGUUAAUCGGAAUUACUGGGCGUAAAGGGUGCGUAGGUUGUUUGAUAAGUUAGAUGUGAAAGUCCUGGGCUUAACCUGGGGACUGCAUCUAAGACUGUUAGACUUGAGUAUAGGAGAGGGUAGUGGAAUUUCCGGUGUAGCGGUGAAAUGCGUAGAGAUCGGAAGGAACACCAGUGGCGAAGGCGGCUACCUGGCCUGAUACUGACACUGAGGCACGAAAGCGUGGGGAGCAAACAGG
This 253-nucleotide ribosomal RNA is filed under the name uncultured bacterium. RNAcentral describes it as "partial 16S ribosomal RNA". It matches the Rfam family "Bacterial small subunit ribosomal RNA", at positions 524 to 776 of the family's 1533-position model. The record is from RNAcentral.